ACUGAUCGGGGUUAGGCUGGGCAUCGGUCAGCGAGUGCAGCUGGACUACAACAUGCCUUGUGCAAGAGGAGUGUCAAGACACAGGUUUCCCUGCUUGCAAGUGCCAGAUCCUGGUGAACAUCACCUAGGGUGGCCCAUCUGGCAGCCGUGCACAGAAGCUCUCUCCAAGAACCCAUAGAAACCAUGGGGAAUGUUUGAACCCAGUAGUGUCCCUUUCCUGUGGUUGGCAGAGUGAUUAAAGUCCCCCACAGUGACAUGGAGUCAUUGAACUCAACUUACUCCAGUGGCUUCCACAAGACUUUAACCACUUCUUCAGCCUGGCUGCAGACAUUUACCUCCUGACCCUGACUGGCUUUUGUCCCUAAACCAUAAGGGCUCCCCCAGUCUGCUGCCCAGUCCAUAGAAGAGAUCCAUGCAUCCAGACAAAUUCUUCAUGUGGAGCAACCUCUCGAUGAUCAUUCCCAAUUGUCUCUUCCGAAGACUCUGCACCAAUUCAGCACGAUCACGCUGUGCCCCUGACUGGCUCUCCUGUGACCUUCAUCCACAAGGGCUCCCCCAGCGUACUGCCAAUUCCAUGGACAGGACAAAGGAAGGAGACCCUGAGUCCAAGAGGCAUCAAAUGUCCAACAGCAGCUCCAUCACUGAGUUCCUCCUCCCGGCAUUCGCAGACACGUGGGAG
Anas platyrhynchos (mallard) is the source of this 679-nucleotide non-coding RNA. Lineage: Eukaryota; Metazoa; Chordata; Aves; Anseriformes; Anatidae. The record is from RefSeq and is a predicted model, not a curated record.